Molecule: long non-coding RNA, 969 nt
Organism: Drosophila mojavensis
Lineage: Eukaryota; Metazoa; Arthropoda; Insecta; Diptera; Drosophilidae
Exons: 2
Source: RefSeq, a predicted model, not a curated record
UCGAGCGUGACGUCAAGGCUUCUUGUACUUCGAGCUAAGACAGACACAGUGCUUAGGUCGUCUGCACAAAUGCGAUAAGAGCGUUUCCAAUCAAAAUCGAAUUAAAGUGCAAUGAACAAUAUGUUGGCUCACUCGUCGAACAAGUGCUAAAUAAAUGAAUUAGGUUAGAUGCGCAUCUGGGCGUAAAAUUGCGUUGAAGUUGAAGCAACUGAGACCCCGGUCGAGAUGUUCCUAUAAAAGCAAAUGUGUGUAGUCCACACGCUUGGCAUUUGCCUCUCAGCCUCAGUCGAUGGCACACCGGUCGUACCGGCUGGUACGUCCACCCGACAUAGCUGUUUACCGCAGCAAAACUGGAACCGUUGGAAAGAGGAGAUCGAGACGAGAGUGAACAAAAUUGACUACCCUACUAGCAAGAGAAUGUGAAUACCCCCGUUGAGGAAAUAUGAGAAGCAAGGCAGGAAGAAAACUUGGCUCAUUUUUCAAAAUGAGGCCGGGAAACAAACUCACAACUACAGUUGUAGCCAUUUGUUAAGCGGCCCAAAUUGGAUGUACUUUACAUAAUAAUCGCAUAUAUAUACUAAUGUUUCCAUACUACAUACAUAUAUAUAUAUAUAUAUAUAUAUAACCUAAUGGUAUUUUAACGAUGUUAAAUGUUGCUGUUGUUUGGGAUCGUAUUGUCACAAGAAUGUCCUCUUGUCAAAAUCGAUUAGCAUUUCAUAUUACUCGCAAUCUAUACUAUAUAUAUAUACAUAUAUAUACUUAACCAACUUAUUUACCAAUUGUUAUAAAUACGUAUGCCAUGCCUAUAAAGACAACAUACAAGAAGCACAUACAUAUGAUAAUAUAAUGACAUAUUUAAUCGUGCCCAUGUUAGGCACACAUAUCUAAUACUCUAUCAAUCUAUAAAGCCUAUACUCGUAAAUUGCAAAAUAAAAUUUAUUAACCCAUGUGUUGAGCAAGCGAAAGCCA